Molecule: ribosomal RNA, 498 nt
Filed under: uncultured bacterium
Lineage: Bacteria
Description: partial 16S ribosomal RNA
Rfam family: Bacterial small subunit ribosomal RNA
Source: RNAcentral
GACGAACGCUGGCGGCGUGCCUAAUACAUGCAAGUCGAACGAGAGCGACCGGUGCUUGCACUGGUCACUCUAGUGGAGAACGUGUGAGUAACACGUGGGUCACCUGCUCAUCAUAGGGGGAUAACAUUCGGACACGGAUGCUAACCCCGCAUAAGUCUUUGCACCGCAUGGUUUGUAGGAGAAUAUCGGCGCAAGCUUCUGCUCUUGGAUGUACCCGCGGUGCUUUUGCUAGUUGGUGUGGUCAAGGCUCAGCAAGGUAGUGAUGCAUAGCCGAUCGGCGAGGCGGAUCGGCCACAUGGGAACGGAGACAGCGCCCAAACGCCUACGGGAGGGAGCAGUAGGGAAUGGGCCGCAAUGGACGCAAGUCUGACGGAGCAACGCCGAGUGAGAGAAGAAGGUUUUCGGAGCGGAAAACUCGGUUUUGAGAGAAGAACAAGUGCUAGAGGAACUGUUGGCGCCGUGACGGUAUCUAACCAGAAAGCCACGGCUAACUACGUG